GUGUCUGCAAGGAUUUCCUUCAGUGAAAAUGGGUAAUGCCAGUAGAAAAUCUUCAUUUCCUUACAAAAAAGUUUGGCUUCAGAAAAAAAUAAGACUUCUUUGGAUUGAAAAAUGAUACAUCUACAUGGCAGACAUGGAUUGGAUAAUAUGGUUACUUGAACACUGGAUUUGCAAAUGCAGAACAGCUGACUUAUGUUUCACAUGUCAGUUGGAGAUUUUCUGGGCAAAAUUUCUAGUAACUCAGCAUUUGAUUGACACAUCAGUGAGGAAGGUUCAUUUUAGUUCGUCAUAUUGUAGUUUCACCCCAUCUGUCAUUUGUACCAAUUCUAGAUAUUGUCCAUAACAAGUCUUCAUGUUUACAUUCUUGCCAAUGGUGCUGAUACUUUUUUUGUCACAACCACUUGUUUCAGCUGUUCCAAGUAUUGAAGCAUUACUUAUGCAAGUACUUAGAGAGGGCUGCCCUUUACAAAAGAAGAGCUUAUCACGUUGCUGUGAUGGUAUGUUUGCAAAACUGGAAAAAAUUCUGUCCUAUGGUGGCCUUAAGUAUGUGCUCAACAUUUUGAAAAAUGUGAACAGCAAAAACAGUUGGUCAGAAUUUCAAACGUCAAAAGUACUUAUUUCUGGAAAAUCAGUUAAUCUACAUGCUGAUUUUCUGCUGUUCCAUCAGUCACUAUGCAGUGUGUUUGGACAACCUAAGCAUUCUUGAAUCAGACUGCUUCAGCUUAUAACGAAGAUGUAUUGCUUGUCAUGCCCGGUGACCAACUUCACAGGACUAUGUUCAAAUUUAGAUUACAGGCCUAGUAUGAAAGAGAUCAAGUAUAUUACCGAAAUUGGCUAUCUCAAUUCGCGACUUCCGAACUCAUCCUCAGUCUGUCAUUCUGAUGCAGGGGUCCUGAAAGAAGUUGGAACGUUUUGAACCGUCUCAGCCAAUAAGUAUUAGAAAAUAGGUAGUCGCUUAAUGAUUAGUUUCUUCGCUGCCCGUCAACUUACCAUCCAAGCAAGCACUAUGUCUGUCAAACCAUUAGCUGAAUACAGUUAAUACCAGUAGUUAACCAAAAGAAGAGGU
This is a long non-coding RNA of Daphnia carinata, 1066 nucleotides long. RefSeq lists it as uncharacterized. The transcript has 6 exons. The record is from RefSeq and is a predicted model, not a curated record. Lineage: Eukaryota; Metazoa; Arthropoda; Branchiopoda; Diplostraca; Daphniidae.